This 497-nucleotide ribosomal RNA is filed under the name uncultured bacterium. Its description in RNAcentral is "partial 16S ribosomal RNA". It matches the Rfam family "Bacterial small subunit ribosomal RNA", at positions 28 to 507 of the family's 1533-position model. The record is from RNAcentral.
GAUGAACGCUGGCGGCGUGCCUAAUACAUGCAAGUCGAGCGAACAGACGAGGAGCUUGCUCCUCUGACGUUGGCGGCGGACGGGUGAGUAACACGUGGAUAACCUACCUAUAAGACUGGGAUAACUUCGGGAAACCGGAGCUAAUACCGGAUAAUAUAUUGAACCGCAUGGUUCAAUAGUGAAAGACGGUUUUGCUGUCACUUAUAGAUGGAUCCGCGCCGCAUUAGCUAGUUGGUAAGGUAACGGCUUACCAAGGCAACGAUGCGUAGCCGACCUGAGAGGGUGACGGCCCACCCUGGACCGGGGCACCGCUCCAGCCCCCUCGGGGGGGCACAGGAGGGGAUCCUCCCGCAUGGGCCAAAGCCCGGCCGGGCCACCGCGGCGUGAGUAAUAAAGUUUUUCGUACCUAAAAACUUUGUAAUUAGGGAAAAAAAAAUUUGAAAGUAACUAUGCACGUCUGGACGGUACCUAAUAAGAAACCCCCGCCUAACUCCGUC